This 484-nucleotide ribosomal RNA is filed under the name uncultured bacterium. RNAcentral describes it as "partial 16S ribosomal RNA". It matches the Rfam family "Bacterial small subunit ribosomal RNA", at positions 30 to 507 of the family's 1533-position model. The record is from RNAcentral.
AUUGAACGCUGGCGGCAUGCUUUACACAUGCAAGUCGAACGGCAGCUCGGGCUUCGGCCUGGCGGGGAGUCGCAAACGGUUGAGUAAUGCAUCUGAGCUCGCCCUGUCUUUCGGGAUAGGCCGUCGAUAGCCGGAUUAAUACCCCAUCCGACCUGUUAGUGAAAUUGGGGGAGCGAAAGUCCGCUCGCCAUUUUGGCGGGCUAUGUCGGAUUAGCUAGUUGGUGGGGUAAAGGCUUACCAAGGCGACGAUCCGUAGCUGGUCUGAGAGGACGACCAGCCAGACUGGGACUGAGACACGGCCGAGACUCCUGAGGGAGGACGCAGUCGGGAAUUUUGGAGAAUGGGGGAAAGGCUGAUCCAGCAAUGCGGCGUGAGGGAAGAAGGCCUUCGGGUUGUAAAGCGCUUUUGUUCGGGGAGAAGUACUGUGCGCUAAUACACCAGGAGGAUGACGGUACCGGAAGAAUAAGCACCGGCUAACUACGUG